CAACAACUUGAAGAAAUUGGUAGCGGCGAAUUUGGUACUGCUUUCAAGUGCAUCCAUCGGCUGGACGGUUGCGUUUACGCUAUAAAGCGAAUAAAAAGGCCCAUUAUGGGGUCAUAUAAAGAACAAAAAAUUUUAAGAGAAGUGUACGCCCACGCAGUACUUGGCGUGAAUAAGCACGUUGUUCGCUAUUAUUCGGCGUGGAAGGAAGAGAACUUUUUAUUUAUUCAGAAUGAAUAUUGCAAUUGUGGUUCACUCGAGAAAUUUCGAUCUAAAAUCUGCAGCUCCGCUCUUAACCAGUCGUUUUUAUUAUCAGUUCUUAGACAAGUGGCCAGUGGAUUAAGAUUUCUUCAUCGUCAAGGUCUUGUUCAUUUGGAUAUCAAACCAGAAAAUAUUUUUGUUUCGGAG
Molecule: long non-coding RNA, 405 nt
Organism: Zophobas morio
Lineage: Eukaryota; Metazoa; Arthropoda; Insecta; Coleoptera; Tenebrionidae
Exons: 3
Source: RefSeq, a predicted model, not a curated record